CCUACGGGAGGCAGCAGUGAGGAAUAUUGGUCAAUGGACGCAAGUCUGAACCAGCCAUGCCGCGUGCAGGAAGACGGCUCUAUGAGUUGUAAACUGCUUUUGUACGAGGGUAAACGCAGAUACGCGUAUCUGUCUGAAAGUAUCGUACGAAUAAGGAUCGGCUAACUCCGUGCCAGCAGCCGCGGUAAUACGGAGGAUUCAAGCGUUAUCCGGAUUUAUUGGGUUUAAGGGGUGCGUAGGCGGUCGGAUAAGUUAGAGGUGAAAUCCCGAGGCUCAACUUCGGAAUUGCCUCUGAUACUGUUAGGCUAGAGAGUAGUUGCGGUAGGCGGAAUGUAUGGUGUAGCGGUGAAAUGCUUAGAGAUCAUACAGAACACCGAUUGCGAAGGCAGCUUACCAAGCUACGUCUGACGUUGAGACACGAAAGCGUGGGGAGCAAACAGGAUUAGAUACCCUUGUAGUC
RNAcentral lists this ribosomal RNA (460 nucleotides) under uncultured bacterium. RNAcentral describes it as "partial 16S ribosomal RNA". It matches the Rfam family "Bacterial small subunit ribosomal RNA", at positions 338 to 795 of the family's 1533-position model. The record is from RNAcentral.